CUUUCAGAAAUUCCACUCCUUGCAUCUUCAUUUUUUAGAAAACUUUCUGGAAUUCCAGCUUUAAAGUUGUGGAAAAAAAAGAGCAAGUUUCUUUUAUCUUUUCUGGGAUCUAAAGUCGAGUUUUCUUGACUUCAUUUGCUGCUCGUUCUUCAUUCUUGCUGGUUUUCUGUUGCUGUUUGGUUCUUGCUGCACUUUCUCAACUUCAGAGGCUUAUUUUUUGUUUUCUUUACUUAUUUGGUUCUGCUGGAAUAGGCUACCAAGAGCUUCAUCAUUGUAGUUUGCGGAUCUAACCACUAGUUGGUCAGAUCAGUAAAUUCCAAGGCCAUGGAAUGGAUUCAAAGUUCAGCAGAAAGAGGUUUAGGUUGAAGAUUUAGUUAUAUUUUGUUUUGAGUUAGCUUUUAGUAUAACUGAUUCUGGUUCUGUAUGCUUUUAGUAUAAAUAAAUUUGGUUUUGUAAGUAUUUAAAAAUAGUUGAGUCUAUUACCCCUAUGAGGAUUGUAAUUGGAAUGGCCAGUAAGUGUGAAAAGAAUCUUAUCAUGA
This is a long non-coding RNA of Nicotiana tabacum (common tobacco), 539 nucleotides long. RefSeq lists it as uncharacterized. The record is from RefSeq and is a predicted model, not a curated record. NCBI's taxonomy places the organism in Eukaryota, Viridiplantae, Streptophyta, Magnoliopsida, Solanales, Solanaceae.